RNAcentral lists this ribosomal RNA (607 nucleotides) under Micrometula hyalostriata. Its description in RNAcentral is "bacterial SSU rRNA". It matches the Rfam family "Eukaryotic small subunit ribosomal RNA", at positions 1220 to 1547 of the family's 1831-position model. Lineage: Eukaryota; Foraminifera; Allogromiidae. The record is from RNAcentral.
GGGUCCGGACACACUGAGGAUUGACAGGCAAAAGAUACAAGUUUUCUUUGUGAGAGCUUGCAUUGUAAAAUAUGCGAGUCCUUUCAUGAUUAUGUGAUAGGUGGUGCAUGGCCGUUCUUAGCUCGUGGAGUGAUCUGUCUGCUUAAUUGCGUUUCACAACGAUUUAAAAUGCUAUGUUUUCUGUGUUUGCUGUUCGGUUUUAGCUCUUACGGGAGUUUUUAACUUUGAACGCACACGGCGUAGCUUAAAACAAUCGGAAAGCAACGAACGUGACCGCAACCUCUUGUUGCCUUUAUUUUUAAAAGCGUAGAAAAUUUUAUAUUUUCUUACGCUUGAAAAAGGCUUUAAAACUAGAGGGACCGCUGUUCUAUUCUCUUAAACCAGAGGAAGAUUGCGGCAAUAACAGGUCUGUGAUGCCCUCAGAUGUUCCGGGCUGCACACGUGCUACAAUGAUUGUUGCAGUGAGCAUCUAUUUUCAAACGCUACCGUUGCGGAUUUUGUGAGAAGGGGGCUUGUUUUAAAGCUUUCGGGUGGAGAAGCAGGUCCUUUUUUUCACAAUUUAUUCCGCGUUACGUGUCAGCUAAACCUGCUUCGAAAGCAAGUAGGU